This 1098-nucleotide long non-coding RNA is filed under the name Mustela putorius furo (domestic ferret). RNAcentral's name for it is "lncRNA (ENSMPUG00000026981.1)". Lineage: Eukaryota; Metazoa; Chordata; Mammalia; Carnivora; Mustelidae. The record is from RNAcentral.
GCUCUCUCUCAAAUAAAUAAAUUAAUUAAAUAUUUUUUAAAAAUAAUAAUUAUUAUAAAACCUUCUAUUCUUGCCAGGUGCGUCUCAGGAUUCAGUGAAAGGAUGUAUAUCAGAGACACCUCACCGGUGCUUUCCUUGUCCCACCCUGGCCUGAGGCAAAUUCCAGCGACACAGUGUGUUUUUUUAAGGACUAAAACAGAUAUCCUAUGCAGUGCACACCAAGACAUGUCCCACUGAGCGUGACUAGGGAGGAGCUCCCACCACUGUGCGUCAUCAUGCAAGUGUAACAUAUGAAUUGUCUAUGCAGCAGCCUGUCACACAAGGCUGCUGACCAUGUUUUCGUAUGUCACAGGAAUCUCACAUUUCUUUAAACCUUCCUGAAUGGUUCCUCACUCUCGGUUUCUAACCUUACUUCUUUACAGACUAGUAGCAAACAGCUCACAGCCCACACUUUAAGGAACAUGUCUGUAUCUCAAUGGUGGAGGUAUAAACUGGUACAAUCAUUUUGACCGUAUUUACUGAAGUCAAAUGUAUACAUAUAUAUGACCAAGGAAUUUCAUCGCAAGGUAUAACUUAAAGAUGUAUACACUGCAUCAAAUGAAAUACACAAGAAUGUUUAUAGUAGGACUAUUUAUAAGAACUCCCCAAACCAGAAAUAACCCAACAUGAGCAGAAAAGAAUAUAAUAAAUCAAUAUCCCUCAUGAAUGUUUAGAUAAAGAUCCUUAAAAAAAAAAAAAAAGCAAAUAUAGUAUUAUACCAUGACUAGGUGGGGCUCUUUCUGGAAAUGCAAGAUUGGUUUAACAUUUGAAAAUCAAUAUAAUUCACUAAGUUAACAAAAUAAAGCAUUUGCAAAAUUCAAAAUCAAUUUGUGAUGACAACCUUCAGCAAUCUAAAAAUAGAAUGGUUUUGACUUGAUUUAAUUCUUCAAUUUUAUACAGGAAUACGUAUGAAUUUGAUGCAGGACAUGUAUGAAAAGUUAAAACUAUCAUACUUAAUGGUGAAAAAUUGAACACUCUACUUCCAUUUUCAUCACUUCUUUUCAGCAAUAUACUGGUGGUCUUAGCUAUUGCCAAUAAGGAAGAUUUUUAAAAAUAAAG